GUUGCACUCCCACACACACCUCCGGAUUGGCAGUGACUCAGCGGCUGCUGCACCCAAGUGCAGGAAGGCUAGGAAUUGUGGACUCCGCACAGAGGCUCUGCACCCUGUAGUGACUGAAGGGUCUCUGCUCCUAAAAACCGAGAAUGCAGCAAUGGACAUUGGAUGAGAGCUGUUACUCAGAUUGUUCCAGCUUUGCCCAUUGGAAACUCCUUUUGCAGCCCUUUGCCUAUCAUUGUAACAUAAAUCUGUCUUGUCCUCAGGGCAGUAGUGAGAAGGUCAAACCUCACUGAGAUGGUGAAUCAUCUUCCUCCGAGGACCUGGGCUCUGGGCUUUACUCUACAUGGUAAAGGUCCAUCCUCUGACGUACGCUGUUGGGGUUUGGAUCAGGCUCCCAGUUGCAGAACACAGCUUCCACAAAACAGACCUGAGGAAUUCUUCAUAAUGGAUCAUCUGAAACUUGGCCUGGAGCUGUAUCCAGUCCAUCUCAGCGAGAAAUUCUCCUCUGAAGUUAAGAGCUAAGCACAUGAUACCUUGUCAUUUUCAUAUCAUCUUUGGAUGUGUUUAAACAUAUUGCAGAAUGUCCCAGGAUGCAUCAUUAGACACUAGAGAGGUUCUAAACUUGCCAUUGCAAAGAAUCUGCGUGGGAUAAAGUAGAUGAGAGCCUGCCUUGAGGCAGGAGCUGACCUUCAGAAAGUCCUCUCCAACCAGGGACAUUUCAUGACCAUGCAGUGAAGCGCCCACUGGUUGCAAGUUAACAAGAGACAACAGUGUCACUGGCAGUACAAACAUGUCUAUGAUAUGUCUUGUCUUGUAUUUGUGCUUUAAUUUAGUGGAAUUCUGAAAACCAUAAUGAAUAAUAACCAAGUGAGGGGUAGUUCUGAGGCAGAGAAUACAAAGGAAACGGGAAACAAAGAAAGUAGUUGAUCAAGAAAGGAACAGUGUCCAAAUGAGUGAAGACUUAUAUAAUGAACUCACCAAAGCUGAGGUCAUAAGCAAAUCCCACAAGUAUCUGAUUCUACAGAAAUGCGGCUGAGCAAGGCCGGGGUACUGUGAAUCUAGAUGAAGCAACAGAUUAAUGUUCAAGCAGAAAGGGAGCAUAAGUGAUACAGCCUCUAAAUUCUUCAAAGGUAAAAGAUAAAGUUUCAGUGUUCCAGGGCUGGUGUAAGCCUGUGUGAAACCUCUCAAAAUAACCAAUUCCUGGAAGCAGAUUGUGGAGACUGGUAAUGAAAGAGGUGGAGGAAUUUUAUUAGCCCAAGAAAAGGCUUUCUGCAACUUGAAACUUCCCUCAGGUUAGACUUUCAUGCCAAAAACUUGCAUGUGCCAAAGGCUUUCCAAAGACAUCUACGAGUGAAAUCAAAACACCUGUCAUGACUGUGAGUGAAUCCUUCUGGGGAACUGGCAGACUCUUGAUCUGUAAUGUAAAUGCAACGAGUUCACACUCUAAUGAUUGAGCAAUCUGUUGUGUAGAAGGUAGAAGCUGUCUCUAUCCUCCUUGACUGAGACAGGCCUGCCCCCUGAAUUGUACCACUGCAUUCUAGUAUGAAGCCAUUCCUCUAUCCGUACAAGCAUGAGAACAUGUUUUCUUAUUGGCAUGACAUUGCUGGGAAACAACCAACCAGCUGCAGCCCCAGUGUCCAGCGGUACUGUGGCUACCACCAGGACUGGUCGCAGAUGUAAAGCCUGCAGAAUACCAGACUGGAGUCUACAUAAAAAACUAGCAGGCUGUCAUGGUUUAUGUCUGUUGCCCCCAGGCCUCAUGAGUUUGCAUUGUGCGUUUGUGAUGGUUCAUUGUCUAGUGCUUGGAUUCAUGGUGUCAGUGCUACACCCAGAUAGGGGUGGAGCCAGGAUGUGAUGUAAUGGCAGGAAGAAGGUGUGUCUUGCUCUUUGCUGGUUCCUGCUUGCUGUUUGCAGCUGCCAUGAACUGCGGCCCCACCAUGCCCGCCUGCCUUGGAGCCAACUGAGUGUAGACUGAAACCUCCAAAAACUGUAAGAAAUAAAUCUUUCCUUUCCCAA
Long non-coding RNA from Cavia porcellus (domestic guinea pig), 2013 nucleotides. RefSeq lists it as uncharacterized. NCBI's taxonomy places the organism in Eukaryota, Metazoa, Chordata, Mammalia, Rodentia, Caviidae. The record is from RefSeq and is a predicted model, not a curated record. The transcript is spliced from 4 exons.